UCAAAUUCCACAGAGAAGUCUGCCAGGCCGGGGAAGGGCCUUGGUACAGCUGCAAGAACUUGGACACUACCACCACCCUGGAGCAGACUCUCAUCACUUUUUUCACGUGGACCAUUAAAGAAGCCUAUUGGUUGGUCUCCCUGCCUCAAGCAUCUCCUCACUCCACUCAUCUUCCAUGGAGUUGUCAAAUUGAUCUUCUUUAAAGGUCUAUAUCCAAUAGUUGCUCUUCUUCUCUCCAAGAGGUACUGUUGAAACGCCACUCUUUCUCUCAAGGAAGCUUUUGUCCAGAACCUUCUCCUUUUCUCUCCAGAAAACAGGGUCCAGGAACUCUUGGCACUCCUACAGAAGACUAAGCUUCACAAACACUUGCCCCUCCAUGACUGCUCCUGGCUGUGGCCAUCUCCUAUAUGUGUCUAUAUAUGUAUAUGUGGCUCCCUCCUUCUCAGAGGCCACAUGGUCCCAGUUGCUGGACUCUAGAAAAGCUCUACUAGGGCCUCUUCACUGCCUCCACUUCUGAAGCUGUAUGUAUUUCUGGAGAAAGAUGCACAGAAAAGAAGAGGAUCUGCCCAACUGGGGAGCAGUGAGAACCAAGAAACAAGAAGGUAACAGAGAAUUGGGGUCACGUGAUGGAUAUGUUCCUGAAUGGACCAAUGACAUCAAAGAUUCCAAUCCAGACUAGUAAAUUAUCCAGAACAUAUGGGUUUUUCCUUCUUCCUGUGCUUUCCUACCAGGUAUACGUAAAUGCAUGUCAACUCCUCCCCUCAGAUACUGGGUGCAAUGGUACGAUGGAAGAAAGAUGUGGUAUAGGGGUGUGAUGGAGAGGGAGAGGAUGUAUAUGACCUCAAGUACAAGGGAACAGGUUAGGAUGGAAAGGAAUAGAAUCAACAAGACAUUGAACAACUUGAGAAAGGAGAGAGCAUAAGCUGGGGACUUAAAAAUAACUGUCACUGAAAUAUGGAUACGAUGAUGCAUCUGGAUGGAGCAAACCUCAAAGGAGGAGAGAUUGCUAAAGUGGUGUUUUCUUUGGAGUUCUAGGUAGUUCUCUAUGUCUUUCCAACCUCUGAGAAUCUUCCACAGGGAGUCCACCUGAUGGGCUUGGGGUAUGAGUGUGUGUCAUGUCUACAUAUUUUAAUACAGCUUAGAUACUAAUGAAGCAAGUGAACUGUCCUUCAGUUAUUCCUUGCUAUUGCCUAUUUUUUCCUGGUCUUGCAUCUUUCUGAUUAUAGCCUCCAAGCUGCUUAUCUUAUACAAUUUUUAUAAUCUGUUGCAUCCUGCACAUGUUUGCCAAGUGCCUGUAAGCUGUCCUUUGGGUGACCUUCAACUUUAAUUCUUCAGAUGCUGGGUAUCCCUAAUUUGCAGCCACACGGCAUCAUGGACGAACUCUAAUGUUAAAAGACGAGUCUUUGUUUUGGCUUGUCGUCAAAGCACUGGACAAUAUCCCAAAUGCAAUUCAGCCCAAGCAUUUCCUCCUCCAAUUCAGGCAUCUUUUCACUGUCCAUGUGCAACAUCUGUACAAGAUAUAUGUCCUUAUAUUUUAUUUUAUUGGUUUUUUAAUGUAUUUUAAUGGUUUAUUUAUGCUUAGCAUCAUCUAGAUAAUAGGCAUUCUUCAGUGGUGUGGUUUUCCCUGGAUGGAUAGUUAGGCCAAACUUCUUUGAGCAAUUAAGGAUCUCAUUUGGAAGGCACCUCAGUGUCCUGGGGCUUGAUGCAAUCAGCAUAAUAUCAUUCACAAUCAGAAACAUCUGAAGGACUUUGCCAUCUCUAUGGAAUCCUUCCUUUCUUUGGACUCAGUCGUGGACCUUCUCCAUGACAAAAGCAAACACCUUUGGUAAGCAAGUCUCCCUGUUUUGUGUCUCAUUUGAUAUGAAUAAUAAGGUUGUCAAAGUACUUUCUAAUAUUACAUCUACCAAGGAGUCUUGUGUGAUUUUCUUGUAUGCAUGGAAGAUGCUUCAUUGGAAGCCUGUUGCUCUACUGAAUCAUGAUGAUUGAUGAUUGAUGUGGUCUGAUGUAUAAUGUAGCAAAAGGCUACUGGCUCCCUAUCAUAUUUUUCAUCUAGGAUGCCCCAGAUGUAUGUGUAGAGGAUUCUCAGGGAAAUUUUGUAGAGAUAAGAAAACAGUCUUGGUGGUUAC
This is a long non-coding RNA of Vombatus ursinus (common wombat), 2126 nucleotides long. RefSeq lists it as uncharacterized. The transcript is spliced from 4 exons. The record is from RefSeq and is a predicted model, not a curated record. NCBI's taxonomy places the organism in Eukaryota, Metazoa, Chordata, Mammalia, Diprotodontia, Vombatidae.